RNAcentral lists this ribosomal RNA (497 nucleotides) under uncultured bacterium. Its description in RNAcentral is "partial 16S ribosomal RNA". It matches the Rfam family "Bacterial small subunit ribosomal RNA", at positions 28 to 507 of the family's 1533-position model. The record is from RNAcentral.
GAUGAACGCUGGCGGCGUGCCUAAUACAUGCAAGUCGAGCGAACAGACGAGGAGCUUGCUCCUCUGACGUUAGCGGCGGACGGGUGAGUAACACGUGGAUAACCUACCUAUAAGACUGGGAUAACUUCGGGAAACCGGAGCUAAUACCGGAUAAUAUAUUGAACCGCAUGGUUCAAUAGUGAAAGACGGUUCUGCUGUCACUUAUAGAUGGAUCCGCGCCGCAUUAGCUAGUUGGUAAGGUAACGGCUUACCAAGGCAACGAUGCGUAGCCGACCUGAGAGGGUGAUCGGCCACACUGGAACUGAGACACGGUCCAGACUCCUACGGGAGGCAGCAGUAGGGAAUCUUCCGCAAUGGGCGAAAGCUUGACGGAGCAACGCCGCGUGAGUGAUGAAGGUCUUCGGAUCGUAAAACUCUGUUAUUAGGGAAGAACAAAUGUGUAAGUAACUAUGCACGUCUUGACGGUACCUAAUCAGAAAGCCACGGCUAACUACGUG